GCCCCGUUCGUCUAGAGGCCCAGGACGCCAGAUUCUCAAUCUGGUAACACGGGUUCGAAUCCCGUACGGGGUACAA
RNAcentral lists this transfer RNA (76 nucleotides) under Acidiferrobacteraceae bacterium. RNAcentral describes it as "tRNA-Glu". It matches the Rfam family "tRNA". From Rfam's summary of the family: Transfer RNA (tRNA) molecules are approximately 80 nucleotides in length. Their secondary structure includes four short double-helical elements and three loops (D, anti-codon, and T loops). Further hydrogen bonds mediate the characteristic L-shaped molecular structure. tRNAs have two regions of fundamental functional importance: the anti-codon, which is responsible for specific mRNA codon recognition, and the 3' end, to which the tRNAs corresponding amino acid is attached (by aminoacyl-tRNA synthetases). tRNAs cope with the degeneracy of the genetic code in two manners: having more than one tRNA (with a specific anti-codon) for a particular amino acid; and 'wobble' base-pairing, i.e. permitting non-standard base-pairing at the 3rd anti-codon position. Lineage: Bacteria; Pseudomonadati; Pseudomonadota; Gammaproteobacteria; Acidiferrobacterales; Acidiferrobacteraceae. The record is from RNAcentral.